GACGAACGCUGGCGGCGUGCUUAACACAUGCAAGUCGAACGGAAAGGCCCUGCUUUUGUGGGGUGCUCGAGUGGCGAACGGGUGAGUAACACGUGAGUAACCUGCCCUUGACUUUGGGAUAACUUCAGGAAACUGGGGCUAAUACCGGAUAGGAGCUCCUGCUGCCUGGUGGGGGUUGGAAAGUUUCGGCGGUUGGGGAUGGACUCGCGGCUUAUCAGCUUGUUGGUGGGGUAGUGGCUUACCAAGGCUUUGACGGGUAGCCGGCCUGAGAGGGUGGCCGGCCACAUUGGGACUGAGAUGCGGCACAGACUCCUACGGGAGGCAGCAGUGGAGAAUAUUACACAAUGGGCGGAAGCCUGAUGCAGCAACGCCGCGUGCGGGAUGACGGCCUUCGGGUUGUAAACCGCUUUCGCCUGUGACGAGGCGUGAGUGACGGUAAUGGGUAAAGAAGCACCGGCUAACUACGUG
This 468-nucleotide ribosomal RNA is filed under the name uncultured bacterium. RNAcentral describes it as "partial 16S ribosomal RNA". It matches the Rfam family "Bacterial small subunit ribosomal RNA", at positions 28 to 507 of the family's 1533-position model. The record is from RNAcentral.